CACGUAGGGUGCGAGCGUUGUCCGGAAUUAUUGGGCGUAAAGAGCUCGUAGGCGGUGUGUCACGUCGGCCGUGAAAACCUGCAGCUUAACUGUGGGCGUGCGGUCGAUACGGGCAGACUAGAGUGCGGUAGGGGAGACUGGAAUUCCUGGUGUAGCGGUGAAAUGCGCAGAUAUCAGGAGGAACACCGGUGGCGAAGGCGGGUCUCUGGGCCGUAACUGACGCUGAGGAGCGAAAGCGUGGGGAGCGAACAGG
This 253-nucleotide ribosomal RNA is filed under the name uncultured bacterium. RNAcentral's name for it is "partial 16S ribosomal RNA". It matches the Rfam family "Bacterial small subunit ribosomal RNA", at positions 524 to 776 of the family's 1533-position model. The record is from RNAcentral.